GACGAACGCUGGCGGCGUGCUUAACACAUGCAAGUCGAACGAUGAAGAAAAGAAUCGAAGCUUCGGCAGAAAUUCAUUUCGGAUUAGUGGCAGACGGGUGAGUAACGCGUGAGCAACCUACCUCUUACAAAGGGAUAGCCUCGGGGAACCGGGAUUAAUACCAUAUAACAUUGUGACGAAGCAUUUCGAUGCAAUCAAAGCUACGGCGGCAAGAGAUGGGCUCGCGUCCCAUUAACCGGAUGGUGAGGUAACGGCUCACCAUAGUGACGAUGGGUAACCGGCCUGAGAGGGUGAACGGUCACACUGGAACUGAGACACGGUCCAGACUCCUACGGGAGGCAGCAGUGGGGAAUAUUGCACAAUGGAGGGAACUCUGAUGCAGCGACGCCGCGUGAGUGAUGAAGGAAUUCGUUUCGUAAAACUCUGUUCUAUGGGAAGAAAAGGACUGUACCAUAGGAGAAAGCUCCGGCUAAAUACGUG
Molecule: ribosomal RNA, 480 nt
Filed under: uncultured bacterium
Lineage: Bacteria
Description: partial 16S ribosomal RNA
Rfam family: Bacterial small subunit ribosomal RNA
Source: RNAcentral